Molecule: ribosomal RNA, 468 nt
Filed under: uncultured bacterium
Lineage: Bacteria
Description: partial 16S ribosomal RNA
Rfam family: Bacterial small subunit ribosomal RNA
Source: RNAcentral
GACGAACGCUGGCGGCGUGCUUAACACAUGCAAGUCGAACGGAAAGGCCCUGCUUUUGUUGGGUGCUCGAGUGGCGAACGGGUGAGUAACACGUGAGUAACCUGCCCUUGACUUUGGGAUAACUUCAGGAAACUGGGGCUCAUACCGGAUAGGAGCUCCUGCUGCAUGGUGGGGGUUGGAAAGUUUCGGCGGUUGGGGCUGGACUCGCGGCUUAUCAGCUUGUUGGUGGGGUAGUGGCUUACCAAGGCUUGGACGGGUAGCCGGCCUGAGAGGGUGACCGGCCACAUUGGGACUGAGGUACGGCCCAGACUGCUACGGGAGGCAGCAGUGGGGAAUAUUGCACAAUGGGCGGAAGCCUGAUGCAGCAACGCCGCGUGCGGGAUGACGGCCUUCGGGUUGUAAACAGCUUUCGCCUGUGACGAAGCGUGAGUGACGGUAAUGGGUAAAGAAGCACCGGCUAACUACGUG